This 30-nucleotide non-coding RNA is filed under the name Rattus norvegicus (Norway rat). The record is from RNAcentral. Lineage: Eukaryota; Metazoa; Chordata; Mammalia; Rodentia; Muridae.
AGAAAAAAUGCUUUAAAUCUAACGUUGCCU